AUUGAACGCUGGCGGCAUGCCUUACACAUGCAAGUCGAACGGCAGCACGGGUGCUUGCACCUGGUGGCGAGUGGCGAACGGGUGAGUAAUACAUCGGAACAUGUCCUGUAGUGGGGGAUAGCCCGGCGAAAGCCGGAUUAAUACCGCAUACGAUCUACGGAUGAAAGCGGGGGACCUUCGGGCCUCGCGCUAUAGGGUUGGCCGAUGGCUGAUUAGCUAGUUGGUGGGGUAAAGGCCUACCAAGGCGACGAUCAGUAGCUGGUCUGAGAGGACGACCAGCCACACUGGGACUGAGACACGGCCCAGACUCCUACGGGAGGCAGCAGUGGGGAAUUUUGGACAAUGGGCGAAAGCCUGAUCCAGCAAUGCCGCGUGUGUGAAGAAGGCCUUCGGGCUGUAAAGCACUUUUGUCCGGAAAGAAAUCCUUGGCCCUAAUACGGUCGGGGGAUGACGGUACCGGAAGAAUAAGCACCGGCUAACUACGU
Molecule: ribosomal RNA, 485 nt
Filed under: uncultured bacterium
Lineage: Bacteria
Description: partial 16S ribosomal RNA
Rfam family: Bacterial small subunit ribosomal RNA
Source: RNAcentral